UACAGAGGUCCCGAGCGUUGUUCGGAUUCAUUGGGCGUAAAGGGUGCGUAGGCGGUCUGCUAAGUUUGAUGUGAAAUCCCGGGGCUCAACCCUGGAAUGGCAUUGAAUACUGGUGGACUAGAGUACUGGAGAGGAAACUGGAAUUUACGGUGUAGCAGUGAAAUGCGUAGAGAUCGUAAGGAAGACCAGUGGCGAAGGCGAGUUUCUGGACAGUAACUGACGCUGAGGCACGAAGGCCAGGGGGAGCAAACGGG
RNAcentral lists this ribosomal RNA (254 nucleotides) under uncultured bacterium. RNAcentral describes it as "partial 16S ribosomal RNA". It matches the Rfam family "Bacterial small subunit ribosomal RNA", at positions 524 to 776 of the family's 1533-position model. The record is from RNAcentral.